UAAGGAAUAUUGGUCAAUGGUGGGAACACUGAACCAGCCAUGCCGCGUGCAGGAAGAAGGCGUUAUGCGUUGUAAACUGCUUUUAUACGGGAAUAAAAUGCUUUUGCGAAAGUUCUUGAAGGUACCGUAUGAAUAAGCAUCGGCUAACUACGUGCCAGCAGCCGCGGUAAUACGUAGGAUGCGAGCGUUGUCCGGAUUUAUUGGGUUUAAAGGGUGCGUAGGCGGUUUUAUAAGUCAGGACUGAAAUUUGGUUGCUUAACAAUCAGACUGGUUUUGAUACUGUGGAACUUGAAUAGCAUUAAGGUAACUGGAAUUUAUGAUGUAGCGGUGAAAUGCAUAGAUAUCAUAAGGAACGUCAAUUGCGUAGGCAGGUUACUGGGUGUAGAUUGACGCUGAGGCA
Molecule: ribosomal RNA, 400 nt
Filed under: uncultured bacterium
Lineage: Bacteria
Description: bacterial SSU rRNA
Rfam family: Bacterial small subunit ribosomal RNA
Source: RNAcentral